RNAcentral lists this ribosomal RNA (580 nucleotides) under fungal sp. koke-4. RNAcentral describes it as "eukaryotic LSU rRNA". The stretch from base 116 to 277 matches the Rfam family "5.8S ribosomal RNA". The record is from RNAcentral. Lineage: Eukaryota; Fungi.
UCGCUCCCGUUUCACAACCCAUUUCUAUUGGACCGGCGGUGUUCACUUGAUUGUGACCUGUCCGAUCAGCCAUACGUUUCUUGGACAUUACUCUAUUAUAACAAACAGUUUACACAACUGGUAGCAUUGGAUCCCUUGGCACGCCAUUCGAUGAAGAACGUUGCAAACUGCGAUAAGUGAUGUGAAAUGCGAGUCCAAAACUUAUACGUGAAUCAUCGAAUCUUUGAACGCAUUGCAUCGAGCUUUGCCCAAGCACGAUAUGCCCCAUUGAGCGUCCUUAAGUCUUUGGGAAUUUAUUUCCAAGUCCGGGCUUCAUGGCUUCACAGUCACGCUGCCUUAGAUGCAUUAUGCGUCGCACUACGGUUGCGCUCCUUGUUGUACACUUCAAGGUGCAUCCUAAUGCAUUAUCGCACUACGCUAAUCACCCUCGGUGAAAAGCAAACCCGUGUUCAGUCCUCGGACAGUUCACCUCUACUUGACUUAACCUCACGGGGGCAAGACGACCCGCUAGACUUAAGCAUAUCAAUAAGUUAACCUCACGGGGGCAAGACGACCCGCUAGACUUAAGCAUAUCAAUAAG